CGGAGCUGGGCGAGCCUGAUCCAGCCAUGCCGCGUGUGUGAAGAAGGUCUUCGGAUUGUAAAGCACUUUAAGUUGGGAGGAAGGGCAUUAACCUAAUACGUUAGUGCUUUGACGUUACCGACAGAAUAAGCACCGGCUAACUCUGUGCCAGCAGCCGCGGUAAU
RNAcentral lists this ribosomal RNA (164 nucleotides) under uncultured Pseudomonas sp. RNAcentral describes it as "partial 16S ribosomal RNA". It matches the Rfam family "Bacterial small subunit ribosomal RNA", at positions 365 to 524 of the family's 1533-position model. Lineage: Bacteria; Pseudomonadati; Pseudomonadota; Gammaproteobacteria; Pseudomonadales; Pseudomonadaceae. The record is from RNAcentral.